AGAUUUACUAGCAAGAAAAUCUAUCACUUCUUGGUUCCAUUUGUUUGGAAUUUGGAAAGGAAAUUUUACGGGGAAAAGAAUAAAAUGCAGACAGACAAAGAUCAAAAGAGGUCACUUUCAAGCAUCCCAUCCAAUGGAAGGCAAAAUAGAAAAGGCCAUUUCAAUGAAACUUGCUACGAUUGGAGUUUAGAUUUGACAGCCGGGAAAGGAGGCAAUCUGAGUACUGCUUCCUCAGUCUCAAUCGGGUCUGAUCUCAGGAUUGGGUCUUGGAGUGGAGGUUUAGUGUCGUCCUGGGCUGGCCUGAAGGGAGGUUUCUUCGGCUUAGUGACACUGCUAUUGCUGGUUUUCAUGGUUGGAGAUGAUAUCUCUGAGCCUUUCAUUGUUUGCUUUCUUAACCUCUUCCCUGCCUCACACCAUCAAUAGAGUUCAAUGCUGCCGUUGUAGUUCUUGAAGCCAAAUAUUUACAUCUUCUCCUUAUCUUCCCCCUUCCUAUUUACCUGUCGUCCUAGCUAUGCUCCAACAUAAAUCGUUUCUGAAUCUGCGAAUGAGGUAGGAAGGCUCGUCUGAGAGUAAUGAGACAGCGUAUGAACGGUGAACAGCGGAGGCAAACAGACGUCGAGAGUGGGAAAAAGAGAGAAACGAUGACAGAGCUUCGAGGAUGAACCAAAACCUCUUCCAAACAGAUGUUCAGAACGC
Molecule: unclassified non-coding RNA, 696 nt
Filed under: Hevea brasiliensis (rubber tree)
Lineage: Eukaryota; Viridiplantae; Streptophyta; Magnoliopsida; Malpighiales; Euphorbiaceae
Source: RNAcentral